UUUAAGUGCAACUAUUGUUUUCGUGUCCAACUUUGAUUGUUCGUUUUAUUUGAAAUUUGUUUAUAAUUAGUAUUUUUAUUGUUAUGAGAUGAUACUUUACUUAUGACUUAUGGUUUUUAUUUUUUCAAAAGAAUUUUGGAACGGACGAUUAAAGUUGAGUGCAGAAAACCAUAGAAUGAGUCAGA
RNAcentral lists this microRNA precursor (185 nucleotides) under Oryza meridionalis. RNAcentral describes it as "MIR812 microRNA precursor family". It matches the Rfam family "MIR812 microRNA precursor family". Lineage: Eukaryota; Viridiplantae; Streptophyta; Magnoliopsida; Poales; Poaceae. The record is from Rfam by way of RNAcentral.